This 263-nucleotide unclassified non-coding RNA is filed under the name fungal sp. Its description in RNAcentral is "partial internal transcribed spacer region". The stretch from base 1 to 46 matches the Rfam family "Eukaryotic small subunit ribosomal RNA", at positions 1786 to 1831 of the family's 1831-position model. Lineage: Eukaryota; Fungi. The record is from RNAcentral.
AAGUCGUAACAAGGUUUCCGUAGGUGAACCUGCGGAAGGAUCAUUAAUGAAUUAUAAGGGUGCCCUCUUCAUCAGGGGGGCCCGAACUCUUCAUUUCUUCUACACUGUGCACCAUUUCAUUUUAGCAUUUGAUGGAAGGAGCCUACAAAUGUGUUAGGUUCCGGAAGUCGAGUGCUAGAACAUUUUUAAACUCUAUACAAAGUCUAAGAAUGAUUACAAACCAAAAUAUAUAAAAACUUUCAACAACGGAUCUCUUGGCUCUC